This is a long non-coding RNA of Larimichthys crocea (large yellow croaker), 722 nucleotides long. RefSeq lists it as uncharacterized. The record is from RefSeq and is a predicted model, not a curated record. NCBI's taxonomy places the organism in Eukaryota, Metazoa, Chordata, Actinopteri, Sciaenidae. The transcript is spliced from 3 exons.
AGUUGAAAUGCCGUCACACGCGAGCUCCCGUCGUGAUGAACAGCGGCCACUUUGCGACACAUAAAAUACGUUGGAGAGAAAUGACAAGCCGAUGUUCUGGAGCCAGCCCGACACGCUCUAGUGGAUGGACUUCGGUGUAAUGAGUGACAACUGCAUGCUAGUCAGUCUCACCAAAUCAACAGUGAAAACAGAGAGCUGAUCCGCGGGCCUAAUGGAAACCACUGGUCCUGCUCGUAUCUCAGGACGCCUCACAAACAGAUGUCCAGGGAUUACCCCAUCCCAGUGGAAAGAUGCAGGCUCUGUUUUUGUUUGUGAAUUUGCUUUACUUCCCUGAAAAUGUCAAGUAUUUUUAGACAAGACUGUGAUGAAAUGCUGAAUGAGUGGACAGCAGAGAACAUGCAUCAACACACUGGAAGUCUUCCGUUCUGGCAGCAGAUGAUGCUUCAUCUCACCAGGCCCCUGCUGGCAUAUGGCAUGGCUUUAUCUUCUCUUCAGUAUCGUAUAUAUUGUAUGAAUAGAAUUUUACCAUCCCAAGUAAAUAGGAUAAUUUUCUUGCAUAUUGUAUACAACAUAACACAGCUUCAUAUGAAUAUGUCCUGGAGUGGUCAACUAUAACCUAACCUCUUGUUAUUUCAUUCAUUUCAGGAUAUAUACUAUAUCCUAGAGCAUAACAUUACUGAAUUUCAUGAUAAAGUUGAAAAAAAUCAAACCACCAACAUGCA